AGGAACAAGAGAAGGCCAUUGAAGAAGCUGUUGAGCACCUAAAAAUACUUGAUAAUGAACUCCAGGGGAAGAAGUUCUUUGGUGGAGAGACUAUUGGACUGGCUGAUAUUGCUGCUAAUUUUAUAGGUCUUUGGCUCGGAAUUUAUCAAGAGAUGUUGGGGAUACAAGUGCUGACAAGUGAGAAGCUUCCCAGAUUAAGUGAAUGGGCUAAUGAAUACCUUAACUCCACCAUUAUCAAGCAAAGCUUGCCUCCUAGAGAUGAACUAUCCGCACGGCUACGCUCUUAUUUCAAACCAACAAAAUGAUAUUACUACACUGAUAGUGUUGUGUACCAUAUGCUGCACAAAGAUCAUGGAAAGUUCUAUGGCAAACCAUCUAAUCACAAACUAUCCUUUGUUGUUUUUUUAAUGAUGUCUAAUGUUAAUUGGGCUUGUUUGGGAAGUUCACUUUUUGUUUUUGUUUGAUCAGUUGAGGGAGAACUGAUGUAUGUACUAUGUAGUAGUCUGUGUUCAACAAUGUGUUGAACUUGUUCCAUUUUCAUACUUCCUAAUAAAAUCAUUUUCCUUUAGUAGUUUUUGACUUGAACCAAUAGUUUGUCAACAUAUUCCAAUUCAAAGUUUCCAUUAGCUUGAACAUAUUCAAAUUGAACUUGACUUUAAAAUGGACUAAUUAAAUAAGCAAAGAUUUAAGAGUUUUUUUCCCAUGGGAAAUCAGUCCUUUAAAGCACCACAUAAGUUUCACCAGGCUUCUGAUUGUUCAUGCAUCAGCAUUCAUUAUAAGCAAACCACAAAAUGGUCGCUUCUGCUGCUGAUUCAAACCCAUUCCUGAUAGCAAUAAGUCCAGUAGAGUGCAAUUACUAAAUUGACUCUCGUCUUGCGGCGUUGGAUGGUUAUACUUUCAAUUCAAGAAUAGAUCUUAAACCAUCAAUAAUUUGAAAGACCGAAGGUUUUGGCCCGAGUGGUAUGACCCAACCUAUCUUAACCAUGAGGUUGAGGAUUCAAUUCUUUCAGGACCGUAGUGCUGCCGACAACCAUAUCCUAGUACUAUAUUUUGUGCGUGGAAAUAUGGAAUAAAACAUAUACUAAUCAGUUUUAAGUAAAAUAUCAGUUAUUUUAUAUACGAAUGAGUCAUACUAUAAAAUAGCUGAUAUAAAAUAUCAUUUUCGGUUUUUUACCAAUGAGCACCCCUACAUUAUGACCACCAUAUAAGUCUCCUUUUUUUUUCUUUUUGAAAGCCACAAAACACAACAUAUUUCAUAAUUAAGAAGAAGGAAUAAAUAAACUCACACACAAGUCUCAUAUAAAAGAGGAAACAAACUUCUCAUAACAAGAACCAAUCAAAUCUCACUGAAGGAGAAAGAAAUAAAUUCACAAGCAAGCCUCACAUAAAGUGGAAACAACCAUAAUGGAAGACAUAAACUUACUUGAGUGAGAAUUGAACUUUGGAAGACAUAAACUUACUUAAGGUGAGAAUCGAACUUAAGACCUAAUGGUCUCAGUAUCUCAGUUUUAACCACUAGAUUAACACCUCAUCGGCCACCAUAUAGAUCACCUAGAAUAGCUAAUAUAAAUAGAUUAACAGUUUAGUGCGUAGGAAACUGAUAUUUCAACAACAGAAAAUGAUAUUAUCAUAACAAAAUCGUCGUUAUAAAUUCUAUAGCAUCGGUUUUGACUGUCAUUAUACCUCUAUAGCGACACAUUUGCUGUAAAAAAAUCAAAAAAUAUUGUGGAAAUAUAUGUUUUCUAAUGCGAAAGGUGGUUUAGAAUUUAAGAUCAUUCAACUAUUUAGUUCUCUAGUCAAAAAUCACUAAUUCAAUUUGAUAGAAAAAGACAAAGUCGAAAGAACUAGAAGUAAAGAUGAUGACCUACCUACCUAUAAGAUUAAUAUCUUGUCUAUCUAACAAUAAAGUCAUCAAAAGCUUCAUGUCAAAUAUCUCCUUACGUUCCGCCAACCUUUCCUCGCAUGUUCAUGUGUAAGUUUUUCUAUUCGGCCCUACCCCCAAAGUUGAAGAGAUAAUGGGGAUACAAGUGCAUAUUUCAAGAAAUUAAAUAUAGCAAGUGUAAGUGUGAAACAUGUUACAAUGUAAUGAAAGAGAAGACAAUAUUAAAUCUAUGUUAGGUGGGUAUGGACCUGGUCAGUUUUUCCAUUUGCCUAAAAUGAAUCAUCUAGAACCAACCAUUUACUUUUGACUUGUAGGAGUCAAUGGAAAACAGUUAGGCAGAAUUGUACUCGUUGGCUAAUUCGAAAUUUGUAUAAGAAAGAACUCAAAGAAGAUCAAAAUUACAGAGCCUCGUAGAUAACUAAUUAGAUACAAAGUUUCUAUUUGUUUAAGGAACCACAAGGGGUAACAAUGGCCAAUCAAACAGUUAAGUUGCUGGGUGCUUGGGGAAGUCCAUAUAGCCGAAGAGUAGAAAUUGCUCUGAAAUUAAAGGGAGUAAAAUAUGAAUUUGUUACACAAGAUCUGUCCAACAAGAGCCCUCUGCUGCUUAAAAACAACCCUGUUCAUAAGAAGGUCCCUGUGCUCUUGCACAAUGGAAGACCAAUUGCUGAGUCUCUUGUCAUUGUUGAGUACAUUGACGAGACCUGGAAAUCUGGCACACCCAUUUUGCCUACAGAUUCUUAUGGAAAAUCCAUGGCACGUUUCUGGGCAAAAUUCAUGGAUGAUAAGGUAUAAUACUAUUUCAUGCAUGAUUUAUUCUCCAAAGUUUAUUAAUUGUUUCUUGGAAAUUAAACUAAUUCCUUGUUUAAUUUGGGUUUAGUGCUUGCCCGCGAUAUAUAAUAUUACGCGAUGCCAAGGCGAGGAGCAAGAGAAGGCCAUUGAAGAUGCUAUUGAGCUGCUGAAAAUACUUGAAAAAGAACUGGAAGGGAAAAAGUUUUUUGGUGGUGAAAGUAUUGGACUGGUUGAUAUUGCUGCUAAUGUUUUAGGCCUUUGGCUUGGAAUUUAUCAAGAGAUAAUGGGAAUACAAGUGCUGACCAGAGAGAAGCUUCCCAGAUUAAGUGAAUGGGCUGAUGAAUACCUUAACUCCACCAUUAUCAAGCAAAGUUUGCCUCCUAGAGCUGAAUUAUCUGCUCGCCUGCGAUCUUUUUUCAAACCAACCAAAUGAUUACUACAUGCCAGAGUCUUGUGUCUCUUUUCUGAAGUUUUUACUUUUAUUUGUCUGAUCAGU
RNAcentral lists this long non-coding RNA (3167 nucleotides) under Panax ginseng (ginseng). Its description in RNAcentral is "long non-coding RNA (PGIN_LNC018495)". The record is from RNAcentral. Lineage: Eukaryota; Viridiplantae; Streptophyta; Magnoliopsida; Apiales; Araliaceae.